AGGAUCCCAUUCUCUCACCUAAUUCACAAAAUUAGAAUGAUGAAAAGAUUAGCAUGGCCCCUGCUCAAGAAGGACAUACAAAUUUCUGAAGUAUUCCAUGCCUUU
Chionomys nivalis (European snow vole) is the source of this 105-nucleotide small nuclear RNA. The record is from RefSeq and is a predicted model, not a curated record. Lineage: Eukaryota; Metazoa; Chordata; Mammalia; Rodentia; Cricetidae.